This 1422-nucleotide ribosomal RNA is filed under the name Lactococcus lactis subsp. hordniae. RNAcentral's name for it is "16S ribosomal RNA". It matches the Rfam family "Bacterial small subunit ribosomal RNA". The record is from RNAcentral. Lineage: Bacteria; Bacillati; Bacillota; Bacilli; Lactobacillales; Streptococcaceae.
AGUUGAGCGCUGAAGGUUGGUACUUGUACCAACUGGAUGAGCAGCGAACGGGUGAGUAACGCGUGGGGAAUCUGCCUUUGAGUGGGGGACAACAUUUGGAAACGAAUGCUAAUACCGCAUAAAAACUUUAAACACAAGUUUUAAGUUUGAAAGAUGCAAUUGCAUCACUCAAAGAUGAUCCCGCGUUGUAUUAGCUAGUUGGUGAGGUAAAGGCUCACCAAGGCGAUGAUACAUAGCCGACCUGAGAGGGUGAUCGGCCACAUUGGGACUGAGACACGGCCCAAACUCCUACGGGAGGCAGCAGUAGGGAAUCUUCGGCAAUGGACGAAAGUCUGACCGAGCAACGCCGCGUGAGUGAAGAAGGUUUUCGGAUCGUAAAACUCUGUUGGUAGAGAAGAACGUUGGUGAGAGUGGAAAGCUCAUCAAGUGACGGUAACUACCCAGAAAGGGACGGCUAACUACGUGCCAGCAGCCGCGGUAAUACGUAGGUCCCGAGCGUUGUCCGGAUUUAUUGGGCGUAAAGCGAGCGCAGGUGGUUUAUUAAGUCUGGUGUAAAAGGCAGUGGCUCAACCAUUGUAUGCAUUGGAAACUGGUAGACUUGAGUGCAGGAGAGGAGAGUGGAAUUCCAUGUGUAGCGGUGAAAUGCGUAGAUAUAUGGAGGAACACCGGUGGCGAAAGCGGCUCUCUGGCCUGUAACUGACACUGAGGCUCGAAAGCGUGGGGAGCAAACAGGAUUAGAUACCCUGGUAGUCCACGCCGUAAACGAUGAGUGCUAGAUGUAGGGAGCUAUAAGUUCUCUGUAUCGCAGCUAACGCAAUAAGCCUCCGCCUGGGGAGUACGACCGCAAGGUUGAAACUCAAAGGAAUUGACGGGGGCCCGCACAAGCGGUGGAGCAUGUGGUUUAAUUGAAGCAACGCGAAGAACCUUACCAGGUCUUGACAUACUCGUGCUAUUCCUAGAGAUAGGAAGUUCCUUCGGGACACGGGAUACAGGUGGUGCAUGGUUGUCGUCAGCUCGUGUCGUGAGAUGUUGGGUUAAGUCCCGCAACGAGCGCAACCCCUAUUGUUAGUUGCCAUCAUUAAGUUGGGCACUCUAACGAGACUGCCGGUGAUAAACCGGAGGAAGGUGGGGAUGACGUCAAAUCAUCAUGCCCCUUAUGACCUGGGCUACACACGUGCUACAAUGGAUGGUACAACGAGUCGCGAGACAGUGAUGUUUAGCUAAUCUCUUAAAACCAUUCUCAGUUCGGAUUGUAGGCUGCAACUCGCCUACAUGAAGUCGGAAUCGCUAGUAAUCGCGGAUCAGCACGCCGCGGUGAAUACGUUCCCGGGCCUUGUACACACCGCCCGUCACACCACGGGAGUUGGGAGUACCCGAAGUAGGUUGCCUAACCGCAAGGAGGGCGCUUCCUAAGGUAAGACC